GCUCGCUCCCAGCGCCGGGCCUCGGGCCCUCGCUCUGGGGUGGGGCUCUAGGUGUCCCCGAAAACAGGACCUUUGACGACCUUACGGUCUUCCGCCGUGACCAGAGAGUUUCCCUGUCUCCCGCCGGCCCCUACGACUGUCACAAGGGCACUUAAUAGGAAUAUUACUCCCGUUUGCUCCGCGCCAGUUACUGUGCACCCUGCAGAGCGCCCCGCACCUUCACCUCGUGUAACCUCCCGUAACCAGCCAACCGGAUAUUACUGUCCCCGCUUUACAGACAGGAGGGGCUCCCAGGUGCUUAAUUGCCCGAGGAGCAGAGACUAGGCGGUGGCCGAGCUGUAGAGGGCACCAGCCUUUUCGCGCACAGUCGUGCUGGUCCCCGAAGCACUAGGAGACAAUGGGAUCUAAUGAUGCCUGUCUUGCAGCUGGGAGGAGCCGGGGCCUAGGUUGUUCAGCGUCUUGUCCAGCCGGGCUGCAGGAUUGAGGCAGGCAUUAUUGCUACAGUUUUACAAAGCGAAGAAGCCCAGUCUGGAGGGGGGUUGGUGUCUCUUCUUUUAGCUCACCGAAAAAGCAAGGGGGUUCCCGAGCAGGAAAGGAACUUGUCUCAGCUCGGGUCUUCAGAGACAACGCAGUUAGAAAAAAUCAGCUCUGAUCACUCGCUCAUGCCCUCUCAGAGGCCAAAUAAAGCAAAGUGAAGUUCAAGAUCAA
This is a long non-coding RNA of Ictidomys tridecemlineatus (thirteen-lined ground squirrel), 708 nucleotides long. RefSeq lists it as uncharacterized. Lineage: Eukaryota; Metazoa; Chordata; Mammalia; Rodentia; Sciuridae. The record is from RefSeq and is a predicted model, not a curated record.